UACUGACCUACUGGAGAGAAAAAGCA
Molecule: non-coding RNA, 26 nt
Filed under: Mus musculus (house mouse)
Lineage: Eukaryota; Metazoa; Chordata; Mammalia; Rodentia; Muridae
Source: RNAcentral